UACAGAGGGGGCAAGCGUUAUUCGGAAUUAUUGGGCGUAAAGGGCGCGUAGGCGGCUGUGCAAGUGGCGGGUGAAAUCCCUCGGCUUAACCGAGGAACUGCCUGCCAGACUGCACGGCUCGAGACCGGGAGAGGUGAGUGGAAUUCCCAGUGUAGCGGUGAAAUGCGUAGAUAUUGGGAGGAACACCAGUGGCGAAGGCGGCUCACUGGACCGGAACUGACGCUGAGGCGCGAAAGCGUGGGGAGCAAACAGG
This 253-nucleotide ribosomal RNA is filed under the name uncultured bacterium. Its description in RNAcentral is "partial 16S ribosomal RNA". It matches the Rfam family "Bacterial small subunit ribosomal RNA", at positions 524 to 776 of the family's 1533-position model. The record is from RNAcentral.